Molecule: ribosomal RNA, 253 nt
Filed under: uncultured bacterium
Lineage: Bacteria
Description: partial 16S ribosomal RNA
Rfam family: Bacterial small subunit ribosomal RNA
Source: RNAcentral
UACGUAGGGGGCGAGCGUUGUCCGGAUUUAUUGGGCGUAAAGAGCGUGUAGGCGGCCAGGUAGGUCUGCUGUGAAAACUCGAGGCUCAACCUCGAGACGUCGGCGGAAACCAUCUGGCUAGAGUCCGGAAGAGGAGAGUGGAAUUCCAGGUGUAGCGGUGAAAUGCGUAGAUAUCUGGAGGAAUACCGGUGGCGAAGGCGGCAUCCUGGACCGGCAUUGACGCUGAGGAGCGAAAGCUAGGGGAGCAAACGGG